UUAACUCAAAUUUGUAUGGAGUUGGAACGUUUGCCUACGUUUGCCGCUAGGGACGCUGUUCCAAAGUGCAUACAUGUUCUUUGAGUUA
RNAcentral lists this microRNA precursor (88 nucleotides) under Bombyx mori (domestic silkworm). Its description in RNAcentral is "mir-2807 microRNA precursor family". It matches the Rfam family "mir-2807 microRNA precursor family". Lineage: Eukaryota; Metazoa; Arthropoda; Insecta; Lepidoptera; Bombycidae. The record is from Rfam by way of RNAcentral.